CCUACGGGAGGCUGCAGUGAGGAAUAUUGGUCAAUGGACGCAAGUCUGAACCAGCCAUGCCGCGUGAAGGAUGAAGGCCUUUGGGUUGUAAACUUCUUUUAUGUGGGAAGCGGUACCAUAGGAAUAAGCACCGGCUAACUCCGUGCCAGCAGCCGCGGUAAUACGGAGGGUGCAAGCGUUAUCCGGAUUUACUGGGUUUAAAGGGUGUGUAGGCGGGCUAUUAAGUCAGUGGUGAAAUCUCCGAGCUUAACUUGGAAACUGCCAUUGAUACUAUUAGUCUUGAAUUUUGUUGAGGUAGGCGGAAUAAGUCAUGUAGCGGUGAAAUGCAUAGAUAUGACUUAGAACACCAAUUGCGAAGGCAGCUUGCUAAACAAAAUUGACGCUGAGGCACGAAAGCGUGGGGAUCAAACAGGAUUAGAUACCCUUGUAGUC
Molecule: ribosomal RNA, 432 nt
Filed under: uncultured bacterium
Lineage: Bacteria
Description: partial 16S ribosomal RNA
Rfam family: Bacterial small subunit ribosomal RNA
Source: RNAcentral